This 253-nucleotide ribosomal RNA is filed under the name uncultured bacterium. Its description in RNAcentral is "partial 16S ribosomal RNA". It matches the Rfam family "Bacterial small subunit ribosomal RNA", at positions 524 to 776 of the family's 1533-position model. The record is from RNAcentral.
UACAGAGGGUGCAAGCGUUAAUCGGAAUUAUUGGGCGUAAAGGGCAUGUAGGUGGCUUGUUAAGUCUGAUGUGAAAGCCCUGGGCUUAACCUGGGAAUUGCGUUGGAAACUGACGAGCUAGAGUCAGACAGAGGGCCGUGGAAUUUCCGGUGUAGCAGUGAAAUGCGUAGAGAUCGGAAAGAACACCCGUGGCGAAGGCGGCGGCCUGGGACCAGACUGACACUGAGGUGCGAAAGCAUGGGGAGCAAACAGG